UACGUAGGGUGCAAGCGUUGUCCGGAAUUAUUGGGCGUAAAGAGUUCGUAGGCGGUUUGUUGCGUCGGCUGUGAAAUCCCGAGGCUCAACCUCGGGUCUGCAGUCGAUACGAGCAAACUAGAGUGUUGCAGGGGAGACUGGAAUUCCUGGUGUAGCGGUGAAAUGCGCAGAUAUCAGGAGGAACACCGGUGGCGAAGGCAGGUCACUGGGCCGCAACUGACGCUGAGGAGCGAAAGCAUGGGGAGCGAACAGG
RNAcentral lists this ribosomal RNA (253 nucleotides) under uncultured bacterium. RNAcentral's name for it is "partial 16S ribosomal RNA". It matches the Rfam family "Bacterial small subunit ribosomal RNA", at positions 524 to 776 of the family's 1533-position model. The record is from RNAcentral.